ACAGAGAAAUUUGUGCUAAUACCGUAUACGUCCCUUUUGGGAAGAAAGGAUUUAGUCGGAGAUGGAUGAGCCCGCGUUGGAUUAGGCUAGUUGGUGAGGUAACGGGCCCACCAAGGCACGAUCCAUAGCCUGGUCUGAGAGGAUGAUCAGCCACACUGGGACUGAGACACGGCCCAG
This 177-nucleotide ribosomal RNA is filed under the name uncultured bacterium. Its description in RNAcentral is "partial 16S ribosomal RNA". It matches the Rfam family "Bacterial small subunit ribosomal RNA", at positions 148 to 334 of the family's 1533-position model. The record is from RNAcentral.